AGAUUAUCCGCACGCCUCUGGCGGCGAAAUUUAGAAACUCUCUAAGAACGACACUUUGUUUGUUUAUUUGUUGAGGUUAUGUUAGAUUAUUCAGAUGGAUCACGAUUAUUUAAAGAAACCUGUUGCUAAUAAAAGCAGAAAUACGAAAUAUUGUUGCGUUCCUCAAUGUAGUACUUACGGAGAUACGGGAAUAAGUUUUCAUUUAUUCCCAAAAGACAAAAUAAUGAAGAAAAAAUGGAAGACUGCUUUAAGAAUAGGCAAGCCAAUUUCACCAUCAAUGAGAGUUUGUUCUCAUCAUUUUCAAACUUCAAACUUUUUUCCGGGCAAUUCUAAAAGGCAGAAGUUGUUUCCUUAUGCCGUACCGUCUCAGAAUAUUCCUAAAAUAAGCUCUGAUAAAGAAGUACCAUUAGUGCAAAUAAAAAAAACAAUUGCUCGAGAAAAUAGGGCUGUUAUUAGACACAGGAAAAUAGUGGAAUCAAAUAAAGAGGUUGGACUUGCUAUGGAGAAUGAAAAAACUAAAUUUGAGGAUAAUAAUAUAACUGAUAACAACAGUCAUCAUCAUGUCAAGACUUCAUCGACACAAGUCAAUUUAGUGGAUUACAGAAAUUAUCGUCCCCGAGAAGAUUGGAGUUUAGCUGACAUUCUUUGUGACAAAGAACCUUUGGAAAAGUGCACUCAAAUAAAUUUUCUUCCUAUGUGGGAAGAGGAUAGAUCAGCUUUAAAGCAAUUAACCCUCUCAGAUUUACUUAGUAGUGAUAUGUAUUUAUUUACUUUUACGGGUAUUCAUUCAAUAGAACUUUUAGAAACAUUGGUGACUUGUGUUAGUGAAUUGGCCUUAGAUGCUCCAACAAAUAAGAAAAUGUUAUCUGUAAGAGACAGAGUUAUUUU
Long non-coding RNA from Ostrinia furnacalis (Asian corn borer), 888 nucleotides. RefSeq lists it as uncharacterized. NCBI's taxonomy places the organism in Eukaryota, Metazoa, Arthropoda, Insecta, Lepidoptera, Crambidae. The record is from RefSeq and is a predicted model, not a curated record. The transcript is spliced from 2 exons.